RNAcentral lists this small RNA (448 nucleotides) under Photobacterium jeanii. RNAcentral's name for it is "cspA thermoregulator". It matches the Rfam family "cspA thermoregulator". The record is from Rfam by way of RNAcentral. Lineage: Bacteria; Pseudomonadati; Pseudomonadota; Gammaproteobacteria; Vibrionales; Vibrionaceae.
CUCGGCCUGUAAUGCAGUCCUAUUUAUGCAAAUGCAAGUAUUGAAAGACCCUUCGUUCUACCGCUUAAACUUAAGCUACCGUCCUGAAGAGCUUCAUUCUUUUGUCCAUAAGUAAUUCAUUAUGUCGGCUUAAGUGCGCAAUUUUGCGUUUUAAAAAUUAUUUUUCAGGAGACAUACUAUGUCUAAAGCAACUGGUACAGUUAAGUGGUUUAACGACGAGAAAGGUUUUGGUUUCAUCACUCAAGACAACGGCGGUGCAGACGUAUUCGUACACUUCCGUGCAAUCACUGGUGAAGGCUUCAAAUCUCUAGCUGAAGGCCAAAAAGUGACUUUUGACAUCGAGCAAGGUCAAAAAGGUCCUCAAGCUGCUAACGUUGAGCGCGUUUAAUUUCUGAUUAAUCAGAAUUAAAAAAUUCCUAAAGGGUGCCUAUAUGGCGCCCUUUUUUUA